Molecule: ribosomal RNA, 491 nt
Filed under: uncultured bacterium
Lineage: Bacteria
Description: partial 16S ribosomal RNA
Rfam family: Bacterial small subunit ribosomal RNA
Source: RNAcentral
GUGAACGCUGGCGGUAGGCCUAACACCUGCAAGUCGAACGGCAGCACAGUAAGAGCUUGCUCUUACGGGUGGCGAGUGGCGGACGGGUGAGGAAUACAUCGGAAUCUACUUUUUCGUGGGGGAUAACGUAGGGAAACUUACGCUAAUACCGCAUACGACCUACGGGUGAAAGCAGGGAAUCUUCGGACCUUGCGCGAUUGAAUGAGCCGAUGUCGGAUUAGCUAGUUGGCGGGGUAAAGGCCCACCAAGGCGACGAUCCGUAGCUGGUCUGAGAGGAUGAUCAGCCACACUGGAACUGAGACACGGUCCAGACUCCUACGGGAGGCAGCAGUGGGGAAUAUUGGACAAUGGGCGCAAGCCUGAUCCAGCCAUACCGCGUGGGUGAAGAAGGCCUUCGGGUUGUAAAGCCCUUUUGUUGGGAAAGAAAGGCAGCAGGUUAAUACCCCGCUGUUCUGACGGUACCCAAAGAAUAAGCACCGGCUAACUUCGUG